AAAGGGAUGCUGACCUAGUGCGAAUAUCAAGAAAUUGUGUGUGUUUUAUGUGCUCCGGGUUCAAUCUCUAUUUGGUAUACAAAUGACUGUUUUUUAAAUCCGGAUAUCUAAAGUCUAACUUUGAGUACUAGGAAGAUUAUAAGGCAAAGAUCUAGAACUCUUAUAGCUUAAAUAAAAAAUGAUUUUACAUGUAAAAGACAGAAAUUACCUAAUAUUAGUUAAGAGAUGAUAUAUUUUCAAGAAAUAAUGAUUCUAGUUGUAUAAAAUACCUAGUUUUUUUUUUGUAUUUUUUUUUGAAUAUUUAGAAGUGCAAGUCCGAAGGCCAUACAUUUCCUAGAGAUAUGAUCCACACCAGGUUAAAUUCAUUUCUUUUGGAGAAGAGAUCCCUCCCAACAGACUUCGAACCCAACACCUCUACCUGCGAGAUUUUUUUUUUGUUAUUCGUAUUAGAUGUGAUUUUGGUGCACCACGCUAGCGUUGGAGAUGAAACUCCCACAUUUUCGCACUGAAUCGACUAUUAAAGCUUGGUCUAAGCUAUCAAUUUAUUACAGUCUAUGCCAGAAAUUUAUGGCAUCCUACCUGAUAUAAAAAGCUUUAUGGCAUCCUACCUGAUAUAAAAAUCAGUGUUCUAUCCUUUAAGUUGUUCAUGUAUUUUCAUUCCAAGAGCAGCCAAUGUUGAGACAGAUUCUCUUGCUAAGCUUGCCUUAUCCGUUUAUGCUGAA
RNAcentral lists this small RNA (722 nucleotides) under Arabidopsis thaliana (thale cress). RNAcentral's name for it is "ATSL148620". The record is from RNAcentral. Lineage: Eukaryota; Viridiplantae; Streptophyta; Magnoliopsida; Brassicales; Brassicaceae.